This 525-nucleotide ribosomal RNA is filed under the name uncultured bacterium. RNAcentral describes it as "bacterial SSU rRNA". It matches the Rfam family "Bacterial small subunit ribosomal RNA", at positions 777 to 1315 of the family's 1533-position model. The record is from RNAcentral.
AAUAGAUACCCUGGUAGUCCACGCCGUAAACGAUGUGUGCUAGAAGUCGGGAUAACUCGGUUUCGAAGCUAACGCAUUAAGCACACCGCCUGGGGAGUACGGUCGCAAGGCUGAAACUCAAAGAAAUUGACGGGGACCCGCACAAGUGGUGGAGCAUGUGGUUUAAUUCGAUGCAACGCGAUGAACCUUACCAAGACUUGACAUACUCGGCAAAGCUAUAGAGAUAUAGUGGAGGUUAUCCGAUGUACAGGUGGUGCAUGGUUGUCGUCAGCUCGUGUCGUGAGAUGUUGGGUUAAGUCCCGCAACGAGCGCAACCCCUAUCUUUAUUUGCUAACAUUAAGUUGAGGACUAUAGAGAGACUGCCUACGCAAGUAGGAGGAAGGUGGGGAUGACGUCAAAUCAUCAUGCCCCUUAUGUCUUGGGCUACACACGUGCUACAAUGGCCGGUACAAAGGGCUGCAAACUGGUGACAGUAAGCGAAUCCCAUAAAGCCGGUCUAAGUUCGGAUUGAAGUCUGCAACUCGA